AGAUCCCUUAUAAUAAUAAAGAAAGUUAAAUUUCGCUCUUAGAAGUUUGUAUCUCGUGCGUGGUAGUAGUUAGGAUUAAAAGCCUAACUAGCUAUAUGCACGUAGUCGUAACUGAAAGGUUGAUCGACCACAGUGGGCCUGAAUAAAGCCCAUGACGAUUGUCACAGCAGUGAGGAAUAUUGGUCAAUAGCCUAACGGCUGAACCAGCAACUUGGAGGAAUGUAUAGCAAUAGCUACUUGCAUCAUUGUAGAUAUGAUGUAAGAUCGACUAUGUUGAAUAAAAUUCUAGGUAGAAUUAUGAUAAUGACAUUGUCUGCCUAUGUGUCUUGACCAAAUUACGUGCCAGCAGUCGCGGUAAUACGUAGAAGACUAGUGUUAUUCAUGUUUAAUCGGUUUAAAGGGUACCUAGACGGUAGAUCAAGCUUUCUAAUAAAUGAAAAGGACUAAUUUACUAGAGUUACUUAUGAGGGGGUAUUAAAGUACUGCUGGUGUAGAGAUGAAAUUCUGUCAUACCUCUUUUCAAAGGAAAAACCAUGGCACAGGUAUAGGCGAAGGCAUCCCCUUAUGUGAUAACUGACGUUGAGGGACGAAGGCUUUGUGUAGCGAACAGGAUUAGAUACCCCAGUAGUCGAAGCAGAAAAUGAUGAAUGUCAUAGAUUAGAUGUAUAAGUUUAUUCUAUAAAUGAAAGUGUAAGCAUUCCACCUCAUGAGUAAUUUGGCAACAUUGGAACUGAAAUCAUUAGACCGUUUCUGAAACCAGUAGUGAAGUAUGUUGUUUAAUUUGAUGAUCCGCAAAAAACCUUACCACAAUUUGAAUAUUUAUAUUUUUUUUUAUUGUUUUCUUCUCUUUUUUCUUCUGAAAAAAAAAAGAGAAGAAAAAAAUCAAAAAAGGAAGAAAAUUAAGAAAGAGGCAAUAAGAUAUAUUUACAAGCGUUGCACGGCUGUCUUCAGUUAAUGUCGCGAGACUUUGGUUAGUUCCAUUAAAUUAACGUAAACCCUUACUUUAUUUUUAUAUAGAGUAGUUCCCCGCUAUAUUGGAUAUGAUAA
This 1047-nucleotide ribosomal RNA is filed under the name Xanthoparmelia loxodes. RNAcentral describes it as "partial small subunit ribosomal RNA". It matches the Rfam family "Bacterial small subunit ribosomal RNA", at positions 186 to 1148 of the family's 1533-position model. The record is from RNAcentral. Lineage: Eukaryota; Fungi; Ascomycota; Lecanoromycetes; Lecanorales; Parmeliaceae.